Dipodomys spectabilis (banner-tailed kangaroo rat) is the source of this 125-nucleotide small nuclear RNA. The record is from RefSeq and is a predicted model, not a curated record. Lineage: Eukaryota; Metazoa; Chordata; Mammalia; Rodentia; Heteromyidae.
UUGAAAAACGAACUUUAGAGAAGGUUAGCACUCUCCUUGACAAGGAUGGAAGAGGCCCUUGCCUGACAACACGCAUACGGUUAAGGUGUUGCCACCUACUUUGUGGCAUCUAACCAUUGUUUUUG